Molecule: ribosomal RNA, 379 nt
Filed under: Oceanospirillaceae bacterium
Lineage: Bacteria; Pseudomonadati; Pseudomonadota; Gammaproteobacteria; Oceanospirillales; Oceanospirillaceae
Description: bacterial SSU rRNA
Rfam family: Bacterial small subunit ribosomal RNA
Source: RNAcentral
UUAAACUGAAGAGUUUGAUCAUGGCUCAGAUUGAACGCUGGCGGCAGGCUUAACACAUGCAAGUCGAGCGGUAACAGAGAUAGCUUGCUAUCUGCUGACGAGCGGCGGACGGGUGAGUAACGCGUAGGAAACUACCCGGUAGUGGGGGACAACCGUUGGAAACGACGGCUAAUACCGCAUACGCUCUACGGAGGAAAGGGGGCUUCGGCUCUCGCUAUCGGAUGUGCCUGCGUGAGAUUAGCUAGUUGGUGGGGUAAAAGCCUACCAAGGCGACGAUCUCUAGCUGGUCUGAGAGGAUGAUCAGCCACACUGGGACUGAGACACGGCCCAGACUCCUACGGGAGGCAGCAGUGGGGAAUAUUGGACAAUGGGGGAAACC